UUAAAAAUUUGAGAUAAUUUCAUAUAAUUUUAUGUAAACAUAUCCAAUGGCAGAUAUAUUCGUAAAACGUUUAAAUUUUUAAAUUUAGCCUUUCAAAAGUCCAAUGAUGCUUAUAUUUGUCCAUCUCGUUUGUUACCGUUAGCUUAUUGUUUAUUUUUCAAUAGAAGAUAAGUGAAAUGACAAUUUUGUCAUCAUAAAUAUGUCCCUCCAAAAGUCCCAACGUUAGAAUCGUGUAAAAAUAUUCUUCCCAAAAAAUUCCCAAUAGUUCUGCUCAUUCUUUCUACUAUCACAGAUAAUAUAAAAGGGGUAAAAAAAUUAAUUUAUCUCAUUCACUAAUCAGGGUUAAGUACUUUAUGUAUGGUUAAUUAUAUUUUUCCAACGAAUAUUAACAGCAGAGUAUAUUUGAAAUUGUUAUAAUUUUUUGAGAGAUAUAUUUGCUAGUCGAUAUGUUUACUGAGAUCUGUAUGAAAUUAUCCCUAAAAAUUAUAUCAAUUACCAUCCUAUACUUUGCCAUCAUAUCAAAUAUAUCCAAAAAAUUUAAAAACUUAGUGAAUUAUUAGGCUUAAAAACUUCAUUAAAACUAGUUCCACAUGUCAAUAUAUAUCCAAUUUACAACUCAGAAAAAUAUAAAAUGUUUAGAUAAUGGAGCAUCUUUAUUUUGCUAAUA
RNAcentral lists this long non-coding RNA (667 nucleotides) under Ananas comosus (pineapple). Its description in RNAcentral is "long non-coding RNA (ACOM_LNC009446)". Lineage: Eukaryota; Viridiplantae; Streptophyta; Magnoliopsida; Poales; Bromeliaceae. The record is from RNAcentral.